RNAcentral lists this ribosomal RNA (468 nucleotides) under uncultured bacterium. RNAcentral's name for it is "partial 16S ribosomal RNA". It matches the Rfam family "Bacterial small subunit ribosomal RNA", at positions 28 to 507 of the family's 1533-position model. The record is from RNAcentral.
GACGAACGCUGGCGGCGUGCUUAACACAUGCAAGUCGAACGGAAAGGCCCUGCUUUUGUGGGGUGCUCGAGUGGCGAACGGGUGAGUAACACGUGAGUAACCUGCCCUUGACUUUGGGAUAACUUCAGGAAACUGGGGCUAAUACCGGAUAGGAGCUCCUGCUGCAUGGUGGGGGUUGGAAAGUUUCGGCGGUUGGGGAUGGACUCGCGGCUUAUCAGCUUGUUGGUGGGGUAGUGGCUUACCAAGGCUUUGACGGGUAGCCGGCCUGAGAGGGUGACCGGCCACAUUGGGCCUGAGGUACGGCCCAGACUCCUACGGGAGGCAGCAGUGGGGAAUAUUGCACAAUGGGCGGAAGCCUGAUGCAGCAACGCCGCGUGCGGGAUGACGGCCUUCGGGUUGUAAACCGCUUUCGCCUGUGACGAAGCGUGCGUGACGGUAAUGGGUAAAGAAGCACCGGCUAACUACGUG